UCGAGCGAAUGUAUAAGUGAGGGUAACCUUAUUUAUACAUGAGCGGCGGACGGGUGAGUAACGCGUGGGCAAUCUGCCCUCUAGCCUGGGAUAACAGUUCGAAAGGACUGCUAACACCGGAUAAUGAGCCUCGAUGGCAUCAUCGAGUCUUUAAAGUUUACACUAGAGGAUGAGCCCGCGUCCCAUUAGCUAGUUGGUGAGGUAACGGCCCACCAAGGCGACGAUGGGUAGCCGACCUGAGAGGGUGAUCGGCCACACUGGGACUGAGACACGGCCCAGACUCCUACGGGAGGCAGCAGUAGGGAAUUUUCCGCAAUGGGCGAAAGCCUGACGGAGCAACGCCGCGUGAGGGAUGAAGGUUUUCGGAUCGUAAACCUCUGUCUUCAGGGACGAUAAUGACGGUACCUGAGGAGGAAGCCACGGCUAACUACGUGCCAGCAGCCGCGGUAAUACGUAGGUGGCAAGCGUUGUCCGGAAUUACUGGGCGUAAAGGGCGUGUAGGCGGCCUUUUAAGUCAGACGUGAAACCCCUGGGCUUAACCCAGGAACUGCGUUUGAAACUGAAGGGCUUGAGGACCGGAGAGGGUAGUGGAAUUCCCAGUGUAGCGGUGAAAUGCGUAGAUAUUGGGAGGAACACCAGUGGCGAAGGCGACUGCCUGGACGGCCCCUGACGCUGAGGCGCGAAAGCUAGGGGAGCAAACGGGAUUAGAUACCCCGGUAGUCCUAGCCGUAAACGAUGGGUACUAGGUGUGGGAGGUAUCGAC
RNAcentral lists this ribosomal RNA (763 nucleotides) under uncultured bacterium. RNAcentral's name for it is "bacterial SSU rRNA". It matches the Rfam family "Bacterial small subunit ribosomal RNA", at positions 62 to 836 of the family's 1533-position model. The record is from RNAcentral.